Molecule: long non-coding RNA, 355 nt
Filed under: Gallus gallus (chicken)
Lineage: Eukaryota; Metazoa; Chordata; Aves; Galliformes; Phasianidae
Source: RNAcentral
UGUAUGGACUGACAGCACAGAGACCAGCAUUGGUGUGUAUGGACUGACAUAACAGUGUGAUAACACCAAUGUCAGUCUGUACCCACUGAUAUAACAUCAUAAUAACACCAACAUCAGUGUGUAUGGACUGAUAUAACGCUGUGAUAACACCAAUGUCAGUCUGUACCCACUGAUAUAACAUCAUAAUAACACCAACAUCAGUGUGUAUGGACUGCUAUAAUGCUGUGAUAACACCAGUGUCAGUCUGUGCCCAUUGAAUAACACCGUGAUAACACCAACAUCAGUGUGUAUGGACUGAUAUAACACCGUGAUACCACCAACGUCAGUCUGUAUGGACUGACAGCACAGAGACACC